This 26558-nucleotide long non-coding RNA is filed under the name Eucalyptus grandis. Its description in RNAcentral is "long non-coding RNA (EGRA_LNC004996)". The record is from RNAcentral. Lineage: Eukaryota; Viridiplantae; Streptophyta; Magnoliopsida; Myrtales; Myrtaceae.
ACUUCGCCGGUAGCCUCAAGAGUAUGUCGACGACGACAUCCUCAGGUAUACUUUCAGCCAUUGUUUGGGCAAAACAGAAACAGGAGAGAUCUCGGACGCGGUCGAUUGGGUCGGCGAUGGCCCGUAGCCGGCUUUCUCGAGAGGUCCCAAGGCCACCGCCUGACACGGGUGGACUCGCCGGCGUGGGCGGCGGUCGCGCGGUGGAGCCCGGCAGCUGGGCGGAGGCAAGGCGGAGGAGGAGGAGGAGAGAGCUGGCGUGGAAUUUUCAAUUGGGCAUAUUCCCAACUUUCCUGAAUUUUAUGAAACCCUAGAAAUUGCUGCCUUCUUAUGUUAUAUAAUAUGUUGUCUCGUUUUGUGCAUUUCCCAUAAUAUCCUUCGCAAGACAAAGCGUCCCAUCAUGGCAUAGAAGGGCCAUAACGUACAUUCACACUUUAUUUCUCUCUCCAUAUGGAUCGACAAAAGUUUAGUGGCGACAUGCACGGAUCAGUGUUUGGUGGCAUGCUAGAAUGUCCCUUAACACCUACAUCAAAAAGGAAAUAUGAGAUGAUCCGUAAUAUUCUUGAUUUUGUUGUCAUUAUAUUUGCAAUCAUCUCAAUCUUGAUUGAGAUAUUUUAGUCUUCUUUCUUGAUUUGAAACCUCCUUCUUUACUCACAGGGGGACAAACCAAACAUUCGUAUUCGCAACCUGAUAUGAGCAACCAAGAUUGUUUCGACCAACUGACAAGUACUUUUAGUCAUCACACGACUUAAGUUUAGCCACUGCAGAGGAUGUUUAACAAGGAUAUCUUCAAGAAAAAAUAUCAUACUAUCCUUUUGUUUUGAAUAUUGGUCAUGUCUAUGGUCUAAUUGAUCAUUCUAAUUCAAGUAAAAAGGAGGACAAAAGAACAAAAAUAUACCUGAGUGGUUCUUGUUUGCCCAAAGGGAAUUUUACUUAGAAUUAGCACUAUGUUCAUAAAGUCAAAUCACAAAAGAACAAGAUAUCCUCAAUUACAACAGGGUACGUAGAGAAGUAUCUAACUCGAGAAACAGAAGCAGACAUUCAAGGUUAAACCAAUGGGAUGAAAAACUAUUACGAUGAAUGUACACAGUUCUAUAAACAUUGCAAUGAAAGAGUUUCAUAUAGGCUAUGAAGAAGUUCAAACUCUUUUGAGUUUAUGUAGGUCUGCAACAGUGGGUUUCUGUAAUUUCUGACACAGCUGAUUUGUGGCAUAUGCAAUGUCAGGUCUUGUUAAAGUCAGAUACUGAAGGCCACCUACUAAGCUUCGGUACUCGACAGGAUUGGCAAGUGGAGCAGAAUCAUUUAUCAGAACAGUCGGUUUUAGUGAUAUAGGAGUAGUAAUUGGUUUGCACUCAAGCAUAUGAGCUCGAGUAAGAAGAUCUCUGGCAUAUUUUGUCUGACAAAGAAAUAGGUAAUCAGAAGUAUUCUUGACUUCAAUGCCAAGAAAGUAAUGUAAUGGGCCAAGAUCUUUCAUAUAGAACUGAAGACUUAGAGGAUGGAUGAGGUUGGAAGGAACUGAGAGGAGCUUCCAGUCAUGAUAAUGUCAUCAACAUAUAGUAGUAGAAGGAUGGUGUAUGUAUCUUUAUGAUAGAUGAACAAUGAUGGGUCAGUUGAGCUGCAAAAGAACCCAUAUUCAAGUAGAAAGUUACUGAACUUGUCAAACCAGGUUCGAGGAGCUUGUCGAAGUCCAUAGAGAGACUUCCUAAGUAGACAUACAUAAUGAGGAUUGUUGGGAUCUUGAAAGCCAAGAGGCUGCUCCAUGUAAACUAUCUCAUUCAAUGUACCAUGUAAGAAUGCAUUUUUGACAUCUAAUUGAUGAAUUGGCCAGUGUUUCAUCAUGGCUACAGAUAGAACUAUACGAAUUGUAGCAUGUUUGACAACUAGACUAAAUGUUUCUGUAAAGUCAAUGCCCUCUUCUUGAUGAAAUCCUUUAGCAACCAGUCAAGCCUUAAGUCUAUCAAGGCUACCAUCAGCUGCAAGCUUUGUUUUAAAUACCCACUUAUAGCCAAUGACAUUCAUUUGAUCAGUUCGAGGAAUUAAUUCCCAAGUUUUGUUCUAAUAAAGUGCAUCCAUCUCUUUUGUCAUUGCUUUAUACCAGCCUUUAUGUGCUAAGGCUGAUUUGAUUGUUCUUGGUUCAAUAGGUACUUCAUAUAUAGCAAGACAUGCAUACCGAGGAUUGGUCUUGAUGAUGCCAGAUUUAGACCUAGUCUACAUAGGGUGAGUAGGUAAUGUACCUUGUGAAUCUAUCUGAUUAUUUGAAGUGUGUAGUUCCAUAGCUAGUUCAUCUGUUGUUUCAGUUAUGGGAACAGGUACUUCAACUUGUUGUGGACAAUCCUGAGUAGUGGUGGAUACUUGAUCUAUAGGAAAUUCAACUGGAGAGACAGAAACUGCUUGUUCUGUGCAUUCAGGUGAGAUCACCCCAUUUGUUUGCUUAGCUGUGGCUUCUUGUUCCCAAUCUGUAUACUAAGAAGUUGAAUGUUUUAUGUGAUUUGUAGUGGAGGAAGCUAGGAACUGUUCUUCUUCUGUCCACAGUUUAUACAAGUGUGUGUAGGAAGGAUAAACUCUUGCUAACUUCUGAGAGAAUGGGAAGAAAUUCUCAUCAAAUACUACAUGUCGACUAAUGUAGACAUGACCAGUAGUAGGGAGAAGGCAUCGAUAUCCCUUAUAGUGAUCACUGUAUCCAAGAAAGACACAGGUUAGUGAACGUGGAUCAAGCUUAUUCUGUGCAUAUGGUCGAAGACAGGGAUAGCAAGCAUAGCCAAAGGUUCUAAGAUGGUCAUAUCUUGGUUUCUGCUGAUAUAAUUUGCUGAAGGGAGACUGCAUCUGUAAUUUUUGAGUAGGAAGAAUGUUAACAAUACAGUUGGCUGUUACAAAUGCAUCUACCCAAAAUUUUAAUGGAAUUUUUGCAUGGUAUAGCAUAGCCAGACCAAGCUCAACUAUAUGUCAAUGCUUCCUUUCAGGUAUCCCAUUCUGCUCAGGUGUAUAUGGACAUGACAUAUGCUGUUGAAUGCCACAGUUCUAUAAGUGAGUUUUGAAUUUUUGGCUAAUAAACUCUCCUCCACCAUCACACUGGAAGGUCUUGAUUUUACAGUUAUGCUGAUUUUCGACUAACUUUUGAAACAUGAGAAAAACACCAUAGAAAUUUGACUUCAGCUUUAAUGGGUAUAUCCAACUAAACCGAGAGAAAUUGUCAACAAAAAUGACAUAAUACUUGAAACUCUGAAAAGACUUAACUGGAGAACGUCCCCAUAUAUCACAGUGAAUUUGUUCUAGAGGCUUUGUAGCUGUAGAAUUUGACAAUGGAAAAGGUAGAGCUGUACUCUUAGCUAUUUGGCAACUUCUAAAUACAGACUGUGAUUCUUUGUUAUACUGAAUCAGUUUUUGAUUCCUCAACUGCUUCAAGAUAUUAUGAUUUGUAUGAGCCAGUCGUUGAUGCCAGAUACUCUUUGCAACAAUUCUUUGUCUUUGUGUGAAAUAGACUUCUACAGCAUGAGGGUCUACUCUGUACAACCCUCUAACCUUCCUUCCUAGCUUCAUGGUUGUGUUGGUGAUGCUGUCCUUGAUGUACACACCAGUUUUGUCAAAAAUAAAGGAACAUGGGUAAUCAUCAGUGAAUUUUGACACUGAUAGAAGGUUUUUCUUAAUCUCAGGAACAAUCAACACAUCAUUUAGAGGCAAGGCAUUAAUUGCAGUAUUCAAUAUUGCAUUACCAAUGUAUUUGACAGGUAAACACAGACCAUUGCCUAUCAUGACUGUAUCAGCAUUGUUAUUUUUAGAAAGACUAUGGAGUAUGCCAGCAUUAAAGGUAAUAUGGGCUAUAGCUCCAGUGUCUGGAUACCAGUCUUGAUCAUUUGCCUCCUCGAUAUGUAGUGCUGCUAGUGCUAUUGGUAUCUCCUCAGCUUGAUAGGAGUUAUCAAACCGAUAACAACAAUGUAAGGCAUCGUGACCAGGCCUCUUACAGGUUUGACACUCAAGUCGAGUGUGUUAUGCUGGUUUCUCCAUUUGUACCUUUUUGUGAGGAGUUGAAUUUGAUGCAGGAUAUGACCUGAUAUCAUAAUACCUUUGUGCUGAUACAUUGUAUGGUCUAAAACCUUGAACAGUACCCAAGCUAGAGGAGGUAUUAAAUUGUUUGAACUGCUGAUUUUCUUGUUCAUAGUUUGAGUUAUUAUUUUUGUAACCCAUGUUUCUUCUAGGAUAACCAAAGUUUAUGUAUCUGGCAUUAUAUGUCCUUCCUCUUCCAUAAUUUCUUCCUCCACGAUUAUUUAUUCUUGAUCCUCUAGGAAUAGUAUCCUGUUGUAUAUAUUAUUUGUCAGCCUCUUCUUUAUGUAUAGCUUCAGUUUUCCUCUGGCCAUAGUAGGCUAGGUUAGGACUAAACUGGUUUAAAGAAUAAUUCUGUAGCCUGGCUUCGAAUCUUUCUAAGUGUGAGAUUACUUCAUCAUAUUCUGGUUGGGGCUUCAAGCAAUAGAUUGUAGUUUUAAAACUUUCAUACUCAGAUCCCAGACCUUCCAGAACUCCAAAUAGUUUUGUGAUUUCAUCAACUGGUUUUGCUAUGGCAUUCAACUGAUCACAUAUUGACUUGUACUCCCUGAGGUAUGCUGAUAAUGUUUGCUCACGUUUCUGGCAAGCCUGCAGUUUUCCACUUAACUCGAACUCCUUAGCUACUGAUUUUUGUGUUAACCGAUUUAACAGAGUUUGCCAAACUUCAUAAGUAGUGUUUAAACCAAUUAUCAGGCUAAGUAUAUUUUCUGACACUGCACCACUAAUCCAAGAAGAAACAAGCUGAUCUGUUUUUAUCCAGUCAUUAUAAUCAGGAUUAGGAAUCUCAUAAGUUUGACCUCCUUCUUCGAUCUGUAAUGUCUUUGCAGGUGGUGAAAUUUCCCCAUUCACAAAACCAAACAAAUCUUGGCUCCUCAAGAAUCUAUAGAACUGAGCUUGCCAUAGGAGGAAAUUAUCCUCAGCUAAUUUGAUGGUGACAAAAUUCGAGAUAUUAACAUGAAUAGGAAACGGAUAUCUCAUGCUGCCAUUUUAUUCUUUUUGAUCUCUGAUCGACUCUAGUUGCAGACACAAGUUCUACUGAUUUGCAGUAUGCUGCUACAAGUAUAUUGAUGAUGAAGAUUUAGAUGUGAAUGAACAAUUACCAACUCACAGAUCUUGUUGGAAGAUAUAGAUAUCUUCAGAGAUCAAAAGAAGCUUCGAAUCUACCUUCGAUCUGGUGUAGAUCUAACUAUUCUGUGCAGCAUCAAGAUGAUUUCUUCAGGAUGCAGAUGCUCUGAUACCAUGAAGAAGUUCGUGCAAAAAGGAACUUGAGAUGAAGAAUCAAUAGAGAGAAUUUGCAAUGAAAGUCUUCUUUCUUUUAUCUAUCAUUUCAUCAUAUCUACAAUCAAACGAGAAAUAGCCUUUUAUACACAAGGACUAUCUCCUGAAUCUGUUUUACAGGUAUUGAAUCAGUUGAAGAAAUAUAACUAACUAACUGAAGCAAGAAACUAACUUCCAAAGCUAAAGUAUACUAGACUAACUACCGAGACUGGUCAAGACUUGCAACACUUAUACAGAGUUUCGAAACAGGUUCUCUUUUCCUUCUUCUUAUCAGCAUAUCUUUUCAGCUGCAUGUACAUUCUUUACUUCCUCUGCUUCAUAUGUUUUCUCUCCAUUGCUCUUGUAUAUCUUGCUUCCCCUGUUCUUGCUUCCCAUGUUCUUACUGGCAUCAGUAAUAGCAUCAGUGAGGGAGCUUCUGUUCUUGUUGUUCUUAACAGGCUAAACCUUUUGCACCAUUUCACAUCAUGCGGGAUUUUGCCAUCACCAUCCCUUUGAAUAGAUAACUCACAUCUUGGUACGUGGAUUCAAUAGUUUAUUUGGUAAUUAGGGAAUAACAUCAUCACCAAUUUCUAUAACUGGAGACUACAUUGUGCUUUGAUCCCAACGUUAUGUCUAUCAAGCUGUGCGCGCAAAUGCAGCCCAAUCAGAGGAUGGGUCAUUCCCGAAAUCUUGCACAGCAAUAGUACAGAGAGUACUCAACAAGGCAAAAUUCAAAAAGAGUCACUGAUGCUGACUAUAGUAUUACAAGAUAGUUCAUUCUCGAAUUCAGUUGGCACAAAGCUUAGCGCACGAGUAUCCACAUUCCGGUCAAGCACAAUAAAACUCAAACUCUACUUUCCGUCUCUCAUCAUUCUAGCAAAACAAAGAUGAUCGAAUGACCAUUCAUCGAGCAGACAUCUGACCCUACAUCUGGACAGAAUACUAAAAGCACGAUAAACUUACUAAAGACGCUCUAUGUUUUUUCUUCAAAAUCCACCAGAUCAUUCAACAGCUCCACCGCCAAGGUAGGGAGAAAUAAGAGUUUCCAAAUAGAUGGCAUAUUCGGUAACACCGGCCAUCCCUAAGUGAUAAUCCUUGUAAGUAUUAUCCUCCAGAUUAAACAGAAUCAUCUGCCUCUUUUCCAUCAAAAAAACAAAUUUUCCACUCCUUGUGUACGCAAGGGGGAUCAUCCCAGAGAAGGUAUUACAAUUUAUGAAGGCACUGCAAUCAAUAUUGAACCAUUUUGCGCACGGUGCUCCUAUCCCGUACUCAUCUGUUAUCCAUGCCUCAAUGCGGAGAUCAUGGGCACCGUUGUAUAUGAACAGAUUCGCCCCGUGAAUCUCAAGUCCCAGGAGUCGUGUGUCCUCAUCGACUUCAGGGACUGGAAGCACCCGGUGAAAUUUCUCUUCCGACAAGUCAAAUGACAUAAUCGCAGAUUCGCCCGCAUCAUAUACGUGCCCAUAGAAGUGCCCAUAGACGUGCCGAUAGACGUGCCAGUGUAAGGCCCCUUUCCAAUAAACUCCUUGGCCGCACAAAUCGAGUUCCUCGUCUUGGAACGGAACUUCUAUCAUCCUCCAGGAACAGGAUUUGAGCGAAAAUAUUGCCACCUUCCCAUUUUCAACUUCAACAACAUCCCCUACUACUAGAGCUGGCGUGGAAUUUUCAAUUGGGCAUAUUCCAACUUUCCUGAAUUUUAUGAAACUCUUGAAAUUGGUACCUUCUUAUAUUAUAAUAUCCUUCGCAGAACAAAGUAUCCCAUCAUGGCAUGGAAGGGCCAUAACGUACAUUCACACUUUAUCUCUCUCUCCCCCCAUAAAGAUCAAAGAGUAAAUCGACAGAAGUUGUGAAUUACACAUUUCGUGGAUCUUGGACAGAAAAUAUAAACUAUAAGAAAAUUAAAGGUCUUAAGAUUGAGAAUAAUCGUCACCGGCCAUGUAAAGAUACCUGUAAUAUCCAAAUAAAUAGGUUGAUAAAUUUAAAUAUUUGGCAUUUUUUGAUUGAUCGAUAGUCAUAUAAAUUAAAAUUCAAGUAUUUAUAUAUAUAAUCUACAGUUAAUAAACGUGUAAGAAGAACGAUACCAGUUGUAUGUGCUUUAGUCAAUCUAACAUUCCUUUCUCACAUAUGUGGGAUUGUAGAUUCUACCAUCUAUGGGUUAUACUCCUUUCACCGACGAUUACCUCUUUUGACAUUACACUUAAAUCUGUCGAUUUUAUCACUUGAUGAUUACUUCUCUAAGAAUUGCAUCUUGGUCGAUUGUUUAUCAUGUUCUCUCUUCCCAAGUCAUUUUUUUUUCACUACCUAAUGAUCUUGUCGAGAUCGUCUUGUGAAACAUUUGGGAACUUGUGUUUGGCUCACAACCGGGAGUUCGAGUUGAAGAUCACUAGAUGUUGUCAAGAGUGACUCCCUCAAAUGAAGCACUCAAUUUUUAUACAUGGAUUGCAAUUUGCGUAGGCCAUGAAUUCAUCUUUCGACUACCAAUUGUGUUUUUCAACUAGUUAGUUUUAACCACAAAGGGGCACCAUUCCAUUGUGAUGGGGCCUUGUAACCGAAAGUUAUUUCCAUUAUCAACAAAAUGAUGAAGCAUAAAUUGUUACUAAUCGUGAAAACAUUUUUUUAUUUAACUUAUUCUUUUGAGCGGUGAUAAUGAUCCGAAACUCUAAAAUAUCUUUUGAAUUAUUGAUAUCCCGCAAAACAAAAAGAUAUUAGAUUUUUAAUUACAUCUACGAAGAGAUUAUAGCGAUGCUUAUGAAAUUCAUUUGCGAACAGUUGAACAAAAUAAAUGAACUACAGAUUAGGUUUCUAUCAUGUCCAUAAACGAUAACGUAAGGAAGCCAUGCACAAACACCAUAUAGAAAUGUUUGCUCGAUUCACAUCUUCGAUUUGCCAAACUACAUCUCAAUAGAUGGAUGCAGAACAAUUCGACGACCCACCGGAAGAUCCUUCUCCCCUUCAACCCUCCGAGAUCGGUCGCCUUGGAGAAAGUCAUUCGCAGCAUUGACGACGCCGCAACCACUGUGCUCCAUCAUCCACUCAAACUUUCGAGGUUCGAGGCUCGAGCUCCGAAUUUAUGUCGCUCGAACCCUGAAUCGUUAGCGUUACGGAAUGCGACUACCAGGGAGUCCUGCAAAAUCCCAAACCCAAAUGCGAAUCUUCUGCUUUUUGUCGACUUAUGGUUAAAAGAUUUGCGAAGCCUACUUUUACAGUUCUCUUGUUAGAAACGAGUCUCUCUCGAAUCACUAGAUAAGGUUGCCGUGUGCUUGCUUUAACAUUCACAUGAGUUAGUCGAAUGUUCACCACAUAACGAGACCCAGUAAAUUGUUGGUGAAGUUACACGAAAUCGGAUCGGGCAACAUUAGCAAAACAAAGAUGAUUGAGUGGCCGUUCAUCGAGCAGAGAUCCAACCCUAAAUCUGGAGAGGAUAGAGUACUGAAAGCAUAAGGAAGUUACUAAAGAAUGACCAGAUCUUAUAAUCGACUAUCAAGACUCUUUGUUUAUUUGUCAAAUUCCAUAAGGUCGUUCGACAUCUCAAGAUGGCCACUCAUUGCCAAGAUAGGGAGAAACAAGAGUUUAUCGGAUAAUUCUUUUAAGUAUCACCCUUAGGAUUGAACAGAAUAACCCGGUCCACAUCCAUCAAAGAAACCAUUUUUCCACUCCUUGUUUACGCGAGGAGGGAAUGCCAAGAGGCAGCUAUGCAAUCAAACCUGAACUAUUUUGUCCACGACCCGCCACACUCAUACCUUAUCCAUGCCUCGAUGCGGCAGUCACGACCAUGGCGGUCACAGGUGCUACCAUAUAUGAACAGACUAGCCUGUGAAUCACAAGUCCCAUGAAAACUAUGUCCCUGACUUCAGGGACCGAAAGCUUCCGAUGGAAUUUCUCUUCCGACAAAUCAAAGAACAUAAUCUCGGUCCUAUGAUUUAGGCUUUUGGUCAAAUGACAUACCAGCGUAAGGCCUCGUUCCAAUAAACUCCUUCACUAGAAACCUCGAGGUGGCUUUCUUCAUCAAACUGGACUUGUAUCCUUCUCCAAGAUUCGGACUUGAGAGAAAAUAUUGCCACCUCCCAAAUUUCACGGAGGCCCUCUACUAUUUUGUAGUCAUCAGACCGAGAGUCAUAUCUAAAUCCAUAGAAUAACCAUUUUGUCGAUAUAAAUCGGAAACGGGCAACUCUCUAUACUCCCUGGUGGUUGGGUUAUAUAUGACCAAAUUACAACAAGGUGCUUAGAGGAGUAUCUGACUCCAAGAAUAGAACCGAUGUUCAAGGUAAGACCGAUGGGGUGAAAAACUAUUACAAUGAAUGUAAACUGUUCUAUAAACAUGGCGAUGAAACAGUUUCAUCUAGGCUUAACCUUUCACACCGAUUCACAUCAUGCAGGAUAUUGCCAUCACCAACCCUUUGAUUAGAUAGCUUGCGUCUUGGUACGUGAAUUCAAUAGUUUAUUCCGUAAUUGAUUAGAGAAUAGUAUUAUCACUAUUUUCUAAGAAUGGAGAUUACACUUCGCAUUGAUACCAAUAGUAUGUUUAUCAAGCUGUGCGAAUGCAGCUCAAUGAGAGGAUGGGUCAUUUUCGAAAUCCUGUACAACAAUAGUAUACAAAGUGCUCAAUAAGACAAAAUUCGAAAAGAGAAUGGAAAAGGAAAAAAAAAAAAUAACAACAAAGGAGUGAUAAUCAUGUUAGACAUGAAAAGCCACUGAUGUUAACUACAGAAUUACAAGAUGGUUCAUCCUCGGAUUCAGUUGGCACAUAGCUUAAGUACGAGAGAAUCCAUACUCCAGUGAAGCAAAUUGAAACUCAAACUCUACUUGUUAUCUCUUCUAGCAAAACAAAGAUGAUUGAAUGGCAAUUCGUCAAGCAGACAUCUAACCCUACAUCUAACCCUACAUAUGAAGCGGACAGAGUGCUAAUAACACAAUUAAGUUGAUAAAGGACAGACUUUCAAUGCUCUCUGUUUCUUCUUCAAAAUCCACAAGAUCAUUCAACAGCUCCACCGACCUUUUUUUGGGGGAGUUUGCGUCAGAAAAAGUGCCGGUUCACUUAUACUUUUAAAGUAUGUUCUAAAAUAUAAAUUAAGCCUUUAAUUUCUAAUGAAAGAACUAUUAAAACUGGUGUAGGAAUAAAAUAGCACAAUAAUACAAAGCUUACAAGAAAGGAAAUAAAUAUCAUAAAAUUCCUUCUAGGUCUAGUGCUAAGAGUCUAAAAAAUAAAAGGAUUAUCUGGACUACUAUUUCGUGUAUUAUGAGCUCUUCUAGAAAUACGAGUACGUCCUCCAUGUAAGCAAUAUUGAUGUCUGGCUACAAACUUAGUAUUAAAAUGUUAUAGACUAAUCUGGAUAUUACCUAAAAAUUCUGGGUAAUUAACUUGGGCUAGUGUGAAAGAAUUAAAACUAUAUGUGAGCUCUUCUAUUAGUUCUGCUGCUACUAUGCAAUGAAUGUAAAGAGGACAGUGAGAUGUCAUGCAAGAGCGGGUGCUUAUGGGAGUUAAUUUAAUGAGACUUAAUCCUGCUCGGUACUAGGCUCAUCUUCAUUUUUAAGCUAAGUUUCCACCAAAUCAAAGACCUAUACCCUUAUGUUCUUAUAUCCAACCUAUCUUCCAGGUUAUAAUGGAUCAGCGCUUCCGUUCCUGCAGGCUGCCUACUGUGACAAGGGUAUCCCACACCCUAUCUUCCUCCUAUCUUUGCCUACGGUCAGAACGGGUACUUUCUUCCGCCUCCUGCGUACUUAUUUCCCCUUCGAGGACCUCUGGGCUAACUUUGGAAUAACUUUGGGUGUUUCAAAAUCCUACCUAUUAUCAGACGGGUUGAUAAUAGUUUCAUGCAGGAAUGAAAUGCUGAGCAUGAUAACAUGGAAGAAAAUUUGGAUAUAGAACAAGCCUAUAUAGGCUUUAAGUAAUUGGAAACGUACAUUGGAAGAUAGCCGUUCCCUUUCGGGAAGGCCUCGACUAAGCAAAGAAACUUUUGCAAGAACUCGGAGACCUCGGGCUGAACUUCUUCUUUAUUGCGAAAAGGAAAAUUUACAGGAUGGGAGUGAUUACAAGGGCGGUUUGCGGAAGAUCACAGCUUAAGGAUGCUUGUGAGCUUCUGAAAACCGGUGCCUACAACUAAUGCCGGAGUAUGGCUUAUAUAGCCAUCUCAAAAGAAUAAAGAUUACAUAAUUUUCUUGCGGGAGAAGAAAAGAAGAAUAUCCUUUUUUACCAAAAAAAAAAGUUCCUACUGGAUUCUGCUUAGGUGUCCAGGUUAUGCUCCGCGAUAGUGUCUAAAGACGCUGGCGUGGCUGGACUAUCGUGUUCUCUGUCUUCACGCUCUAAAGUAUUUCCACUAACACUUUCUUCACUGGAAAGAUGAGUGUCGUGAAAUCUCCGGUCCUGUGCUAUGGCCUCUUGCAUUAAAGCUUCUUUAACCAAGUCUCCCAUCAACUCUUUAAGCUGUUUCUUCCGGUGGAAAUUCUCUUCCCACAAAUCAAAUGACAUAAUCUCGGUCCUAUGAUUUAGGCUUUGGUCAAAGACGCACCAGUGUAAGGCCACGUUCCAAUAAACUCCUUCGCCAGAAACCUCGAGGCGGCUUUCAUCUAACUGGACUUGUAUCCUUCUCCAAGAUCCGGACAUGAGAGAAAAUAUUUCCACCUCCCAAUUUUCAUGGAGGCCCUCUACUAUUUUGUAGUCGUUAGAGCGAGAGUCAUAUCCAAAUCUAUAGAGUAACCCAUUUUGUCGAUAUAAAUCGGAAACAGGCAACUCUCUAUACUCCCCGGUGGGCAGGUUAUAUUUGACAAAAUUACAGCAAGUUGCUUAGAUGAGUAAAUGACUCCAAAAAUAGAACCGAUGCUCAAGGUAAGACCGACGGGAUAAAAAACUAUUACAAUGAAUGUAAACCGUACAAUAAACAAUGUGAUGAAACAGUUUCAUCUAGGUUUAACCUUUCACACCGAUUCACAUCAUGUAGGAUGUUGCCAUCGCCAACCCUUUGAAUAGAUAGCUUGCAUCUUGGUACAUGAAUUCAAUAGUUUAUUCCGUAAUCGAUUAGGGAAUAGCAUUAUCACUAUUUUCUUUAAAUGAAGAUUACACUACACAUUGAUACCAAUAGUAUGUUUAUCAAGCUAUGCGAAUGCAGCUCGAUGAGAGGAUGAGUCAUUUCCGAAAUCCUGUACAGCAAUAGUAUACAGAGUGCUCAAGAAGACAAAAUUCGAAAAAAGAAUGGAAAAGAAAAAAUACAAAAACAAAAGAGUGAUAAUCAUGUUAGACAUGAAAGGCCACCGAUGUUAACUACAGAAUUACAAGAUGGUUCAUCUUCGAAUUCAGUUUGCACAAAGCUUAAGUACGAGAAUAUCCACACUCCAGUGAAGCAAAUUGAAACUCAAACUCUACUUGUUAUCUCUUCUAGCAAAAUAAAGAUGAUUGAAUGGCAAUUCGUCAAGCAAACAUCUAACCCUACAUAUGGAGCGGACAGUGCUGAUAGCACUAUUAAGUUGAUAAACAACAGACUUUCAAUGCUCUUUAUUUCUUCUUCAAAAUCCACAAGAUCAUUCAACAGCUCCACUGACAAGACAGGGAGAAACAAGAGUUUCCAAAUAGAUUGCAAAUUCGAUAUUGCAGCCCCCAUCUAUGGGAUAAUCCUUGCAAGUAUUAUCCUCUGGAUUAAAUAGAAUCAUCCGCUUCAUAUCCAUCUGGAAAACGAUUUUCCACACCAUGUGUACGCGAGGGGGUCCUUCCUAAGGGGGGUAUUCCAAUUAAUGAAGGCACUGCAAUCAACACCGAACCAUUUUGUCCACGAUGCUCCUCUCCUGUACCCAUCUGUAAUCCAUGCCUCGAUACGGGGAUCACAGGCGCUGUCAUAUAUGAACAGAUUGGCCCCAUGAAUCCCGAGUCCCAGGAGAUGUACGUCCUCAUCGACUUUAAGGACUGGACGUACCGACGAAAUUCCUCUUCCAACAAAUCAAAUGACAUAAUCACAACUUCACACUUGUUGUCUAUGCUCCAGACAUGGCCGCACCAGUGUAAGGCCCCUUUCCAAUAAACUCCUUGGCUGUAAAUUAUGACAUCACUUUGUUCCACCUCCUGGAACUGGACUUCUAUGCUUCUCCACGAACUAGACUUGAGCGAAAAUAUUGCCACCUCCCAAUUUUCAUCACUAGAAACAUCUGCUGCUACUAUUUUGUUGUCAUCAGAUUAAGAGUCAUAUCAGAAUAUCUGACUUCACCAAAUGACUCAGUUUGAUGAACAAAACCAAAAUCGGACAACUCAAUAUACUCCCUGGUGGUCAGGUUAUGUAUAAGAAAAUUGCUAGGGCCAAACAUACCAGGCCAUCGGAGGACCCCACGAUGCGGGGCUUCCAGAAAGGUUUGAUCGGAUGAGGUACCACCAUGGGACCCUCACCGUCGUUUAGCGCUUCGUAGUUUACAGUCUCGAGCAGGCUCGAGCAGGCUCGAGCAGGCUUCUUUUAAUAGUAUUUUAAUAAUGUUUUCCAUGAUAUUAGUGGAUGUUAUUUGAACAUUCCCUUUUCUAUUUAUCUCAACAUUUCGUACAGAGAUUAUUAUAUUGGCAUUUUGCAAAUUUCCCAUAAUAUCAUUCAUAGAUCAAAGUGUCGCAUCUUAGUAGAUCAAAUACUCGUAUUUCUCUGACUUGUCCUCCCUUUUCUUAUGAGCUUUAUCGACGUUUUUUGUUUUUCUUAUUUUUGUGUUGGUCGACAACUAUAGGGCCUAGCUAACACCUCUUCAGAAAAGAUGAACUCGGGAAAUUGCACUUGGAAUGAAGGACACAAGCUGUACAUUAUUGGAAAAUAGACUUGAAGGCUCGUUGUGAUUCGUAGAUUGCAAUUGCAAUUUUUCGAGUUUAAUUAGGCCUUGAACCAAGCAGAAGAAACCAAGGGAACAAUUACCAAGAGCAUGGAUGAUGUGGAUUUUGAUAGGUUUGUAGGUUCUAGGCCCUUCAAGACCAUAGACUACAAAGCGCUGGACGGCUACAGCAGGUGGAAUUAUCGAUUUAGUUCCAAGGGAACUCCACUUGGUAAAGUGACAGUGAGGUAUUUUGAAGAAGUAUCUAAUCAACGAACAGAACUAAGGUAAAACUCAUGAGGUCAAAAACAUCACAAUGAUUUCAAAUUGUUCUACACACAUUGUGGUAAAAGGACAUCAUCCAGGCUAAAUCUGUCGCAUCGUAAUGCGUCAUCAUAUGUGGAUUUCAAUCAUUUAUACGACAAUCAACUACGAAAUUUCAAUAUCACCAGUUUCUUUAAUUGGAGAAACUACAAAUAUGGUUUGGUGCCAAUGGUACAUUUUUCAUGCCGUGCGAGAGUAGCCCGAAUAGAGGAUGGGUUAUUCACGAAAUCUUGUUCAACAAUAGUAUGCUGAUUAUUAACUACAGCAAGUAAAAGAUGGUUCUUACUCUAUUUCAGCUGGCACAAAGUCUCAAGUGUGUGACUUUUCUGGUCCAAGCGUAACGAAAAUUGAACUCUACUUUGUUGUCUCUCACAAAAGCUUAUUCUUCCUGUUUGAUGCAAUCUUAGUACUUCAUGAUUCCAUAGCACCAUCCUUCGAAGGCAAGCCAAGGAUUCGCAGAUUGUGAUCCAUCUAUCCGAUUGCAAUGUACUUUGAAUCCAGACGAACUUAACGCUUGUCAUUUUACCUACAAUUGCAACUAGAAUGAAUGUCACGUUUAGAGUCUCUUCAAUAACCAUCAUGUUUUUUUCUAUUUUUUUGUUCUUUUGUUCCCUAGAGCAUUAAAAGAAUAUCAACUAAUUUUUCUAUUUCUUGAAAAAGAAAAAUGAUCAGGGAAUAGAUUUGAAAUAAAACUAAAAAAAAAAAAAUUAUAUUUCAUUGUUUUUGAGAAUAGAAAUUGAUAAUUCUAUUUCUGAAUAGAAUUUGUUUCCGAGAAUAGAAACAUUACCAGAUGUACCACGUGCAAGAUUUCAAAGGAGGAGAAAAGUAGGAGGAGAGGCAGAGAUGACCUAUCCCGAAUAGACCAGGGAAAAACUUGAUACAAUUUACUCUAAUUUUAUACUUGAUAUACUCUGGCAAAGCACAAAAUAUUUAAGUUAUUCCCCAAAGCAGCUUGCACUACUAAACGAAACAGGAGGAAAGCAGUAUAACAAUACGUUGUGAUUCUAGACAUGCACUUCCACUGGACAGAAGAAUAGAAGAAUACAAAGUAUCUCGAUCUCGAAUACUUAAGAGGUGAAAUAAUCCUCCUAUUAACCUUACCAGAAAAAAAAAAUUUAAUCCUCCUAUUAGUGCAUAGAGUUAUGGUGCUCUCGGAAAAACUAUGGAAAUUUUAUGAGGGUAGAAAGGUUUCAAGAGAAUUCAGACUUUUGAAUUUCUCACUUUUUCUAACCUUAUGUUUGGUGGAAUUUUGUUAUAAGCAAAUUAUCAGAAACACACUUGCUUUCUUUUUUCAGAUAAUAUUUUCAGCUACUGGAGAAAUUGAAAAAAAGGCAAAUACAAUGAAAAUAAAGAACAGGUAAAUAUUCUGUAAACAAACACAUCCUUUAUUACCUUAUUAUUUUCAGAAUUUGCGUACAAAAUCUACCAUAGAAACUCACAUUAUAUUUGAGCCAGCAAGUGCAAGAUAACAUCCACUAUGAUCAAAUCCAACUGCAAAAUAAGAGAGAGACCCAGUCAUAGUUAUAUUUGCACAAAUAAUUUACACUCACUAAGCCAACCCUCCUCCCGCUUCCCUCUCCUCCCCUCCUUCCUCCCCUGUCUCUCUUUCCUUUUUCUUUUUCUUAUUUUUUCCCUUUGUAAAAGAAGAGAAAAUAGAACCAAUAUAAUGUAUAAUCUUCUUUGAGGGAGCUCUAUAGAAAAAGUUCACUCUUCAUAACAAAUCCAGGCAAACAAGGAGGCAUCCAUUGCUCACUGCCAUCCCAGAUCUACUUUCACUACAACAAGCAGGGCUAAGAGGGCUAAGAGGGUGUUAUACCAGAACCUGUCUCUAUGUCUUGUCAUAUGCUGAAAAUGUGCGAAAGUUCUUCAACUUCCGCAAAUCCCACAACUUAACCCCAACCCGAGCUUCAGUCUAUGAAAUAAAUGUCCAAGUCAUAUGGCAUGUCCAAAAUCUCUAUUGAUAAUAAAAGAGAGAUCAGAGGAACAUUUACCGCAAGGAAGUUUCCAUUCUUAGAGAAAGAUAUAGCAGUAAUUGCCCCGGUUGGCCAGAAAGUGUCGUAACAUUUGCCUGUUUCUAUCACACCCUGAAAAUAUCAUGAAGGGGGAUGACACAGCCGUCCUUCGACCUGAAGGACGCAAUCUCAAAGCUCCCAAAAUCCAACUCCUAAAAGUCCCCUCGUCGAUAUUGCUCUCGUAUUACUCAUCGUUAGCUGAGAAGCCUGAAAAAGAUUAGAAUAAUAAAGGGAUGAGCAACCAUAGGUUAGUGAGUAGUGCAUUUCUUCUAAAUGGAUUGAGCACCUACUAUGCAUAUUUAUAAACCAAACCGCAACUCUUUUAACUCAAAUACAUAAUAUAACAAACAUAAAAUAAGAGAAUAAGUCACAUAUGCUUUAACACAGCAGAUUCAUUUCACAAUAAUAUCAUAACAAACAUUAAUGGUCCAAUUCAUUGAUCAAUCUCAUUAAUUCACAUGCCAAUGGUCCAUUUAAUUGGUUAAUCUCAUCAAUGGUCUAAUGAAAUCAAACAUCGAUGGUUUAUUCCAACGACUAAUUUCAAAUCAUACGUCGAUGGUCCAUUUCAUCGACUAAACUCAAAUCAUAUGUCAAUGGUCCAUUCCAUAGACCAACUUCAUAUCACAUGUCAAUGGUCCACUCCAUUGACUAAGCUCAUAUCACAUGUCAAUAGUCCAAUCCAUUGACCAAUCUGUUGCUCAAUAUCAAAUCAUGGUCACGACACAACACUUAGUGACAACGUGACCAGGAUUUCCCCCUUAGCAAGGUCUCCACCUAUUAUUAACCAAUGGUUCGGCCCACAAGGGUAUCCUAGAGUAAGCAUCUUACUAGGCAUACAACGAUAUUAAGAAUCAACACCAAUCUACAACAACCUCCAUAAUUUACAAAGCCAGAUCCAAAAAUCAUUUCAUAUGUCAUAAUAUAUUUAAUAAAUCAACCACAUAACCUUUCGCAACUCAAUUUAUUCGCUACAAAUACUUUUUGUAAAAUAUUUCUCAAAUCAUUUUAGAACUCAUCUCAUAAACCAGUUUUACAAUCCAAAUCAAAUCAAAUGCUUGUCAAAAAGCUUAUCACAAAUCGAUUUCUAUAUUAACAUUCCAUAUACCAUCUCAAAGUUGACAUUUUCGUAAAAAAAAUUUCACAGACCCAAAAUAUGUCAUAUUUCUCAGCUUCGUUCAUCAAACAUAAUAUAUAUUUCGAUCGAAAAGUUCUCACUCUAUUUUCAAAUACCAAAACGUAGUAAAUAUCUGAUUCAAAUUUUAUGCAACAAAAAUGCUUAUUCAUAACUCAUAAAAUAUCAAAUCUUUAUCAUUUUAAAGACACGAGCUUAUAAAUUCUUAGAAGAAAUAGCACCACUCAUUUGGGAAAGCCGAAAAUCAACUUAUGUUGGUUACUCAAGCCAACACAUUCGUAUUCCUAUCAAUUAAUCAAAAACAAUAUCCAAACCAAGUAAUAUGCUACUCUCCAACUAAAAACUCGAUUAAAUUAUGCUUAUUCAUCGAUAAAACGAUACCUACGUGCUAAUAAACCACAUAUUCAAAGCGAUCAUUUAAGCUGUCCGCAAUGUGAAACUUGAGGGCGAAAAUUGGUCACCUCGUAACUUUCUCUACCGAACCCCGUUUCAAGCAUACUUAUAGUCAAUGGAAAGCCCUUCCAACAUAUUACAAGAACCCCAAUUUAGCCAACCUGAAAUCAAACAAAAAUCAACAAAAUAUGGUCCCAAAAUCCCGGUCGUGCUCUGUUCAUCAUGCAUGAUAAACUUUAAAAUUUUGUUUCCAGCAAACCGUAAGCUCAAAUUACGAUCCGUAAAAUCUUACAACUCCACAACACCCUAAAAUAUAAUUUCUCUAAAAAUACAUGGCUCAACGACUCAAAAAUCAUACUUCGCCACUCUAUUUUCCCAAAAUUCUGAAUUUCAAGCCCUAAGUCCAAACUUAAUUCGAUUGAAUGAAUCGCAGGGGGGCAGGGGCACAGGCACGGGUUCUUACCAGGCGUUGCAUUAUAUGGUUGAGGUGGCUUGGCAAGGCUCCCAUGGCGACAACGCAUGAAACCCUCUUUUUCUCCAUUUCCUUCUUCUCCUUCUCCUUUUCUUUACUUUCUUUCCCUUACACAAGCUCUCUGGUCUCCCUUUCUCUCUCUCCUUCUUUUCCCUUCUCUCUUUCCCUUUUUAUUUCCUCCUUUCUCUUUUUAUUUCUGUCUUUUCUUUUCUUUCCUUCUCUCUCUCUCUCUCUCUCUCUCUCUCUCUCUCUCUCUCUCAGUUUUCUGACUGGGUCAAAACUCAUAUUUUACAAUUUCAAAAUGAAAAACAGCUACAAUAGCAUGUUGCCCUACCUAAAAUGGAUAGAAGAGGAACAAUAACUGCGAAAGAAUAAAACAUGAGAAGAAGGCAGAUUCGUGGAGGUGAUUGACUUGUCUCAAAAUGAUCAAGCAAGAUUGUUGAGCUAUAACCAUGAAGAACUAAACUUACUGGAACAAUCUGGUGAAUACAAAAAUGAGGAUGCUAGUUGAAUCAUGGCAUAUGGAAUUCUGCUACUUACAUUUUCCCUCCUUUUUUCUAACAACAUGCCAAGUUGGCAUAUUGCGACUAAAUUGACCAUGAGGAACAAAAGCUGAAAAUAGACCAAGGAAUACUGCACAUGCAAAUCGUCAGGGUGGGAUGCAAGAUUGUCAUAUCAUAUUUUAUGGGGUAAGUAUACUAGAAGUGCCAAAAGUUUAUUUUGGGUCACUUAAGUGUCAAAAAGUUUGAAAAAUCAUCAUUUCAGUGGCAAUGUCAAUCUGAUUGGCUGGAAAUCCAAUGACACUUUUUUUAUUAAUUUUGAAGUCAACAUGGUUCGUCAGAAAGUACAAUCAACAUGAAAACAACAAAACAACACCGUUUGACAUCUUUCCCCAAGUAAGAACCCUAAAUCUCCAAAUUCAAAUAGAACCGGAAGUUAAAACUCUAACUGGCUAAUCCAGCGCCUACUUCAAUUUUCUCCCAAAAUUAUUAGCUCGAUCUUGCAAAUGAAGGGCAGAAGCCCUAGUAGCAGCUCACAUUCGUUCCAAAAAAGUGAAUUGGAUGGUGAGUGUUACUAUUGUUGCGAAUUACUCAGUUUGAGAAGAACAUAUUGGACUCGGUUCAAUUUGAGGAGAAGAUUCCAUGGGUGCAGGUAUAGAGAAGGCUCGAAAUACAAAUAUUUCAAAUGGGUUGAUAUGAAAUUCUUUGGUUGAGCGACAAAAGUGAUCUUUGAGCUAUUUGAAGGCCGACAUCAACCUCCACCUACAUUAAUGGACAAGUUAGAGAAUGUCGACUCAAUGCAAGCUCAAAUGAAGGUUUAAUUAAAGCUACUCAAUUCAACCUAAUCACAUCAUCGAGUGUCAAUGACUCAAGAAAUGGCAAAACAUGGGCUAAAUGAAGACAAGAGUGAACAUGAUCCACCAAUAUAUAGUCUAAGGGGCAAUUUUCCCCGCUUAAGGUUACCAAAGCAAACAAAUAGUUAAAUAACGCCAAUAGUAUGUGGAUUCAAUAGUUUAUUCGGUAAUCGAUUAGGGAUUAGCAUAGCAUUAUCACCACUUUCUUUAAUUGGAGACUACAUUGUGCUUUAAUGCCAAUAGUAUGUUUGUCAAGUUGUGUGAGUGUAACACGACGAGAGGGUCAUUUCUGAAAUCUUGUAUAGUAAUAAUAUACUGAGUAUUCAAGAAGGCUCAAUUCAAAAGGAGAAGGCAAAAGAAAAGAGUGAUAAUCAUGUUAGGCAUGAAGAGCCAUCAAGGUUAACUAUAGUAGUACAAGAUGGUCCAACUCAGAUUCAGCUAUCACAAAGCUUAAGCGAACUCUGAUUUUACAAUGGCAAUUUGAUAUACUCAGGUAAAGCACAAAAUAACAGCUCCCAAAAUAGCUAGCAUUACUAAAACGACAAAGGAGGAAAGUUGGAAUUACAGCCGGCCCUGAUCCAGGUCAUACAUUUCCACUGGACAUAAGGAUAGAAGUUUAAGAGAAUUCUACGUGAAAGUUGCCGCACAGACCUUUUAUUUUACUCCUUCUAAAGAGUAAUGGCAAGUGACAUAUGACAGUAAUGGCAAGUGACUAUGACGGUGUCAUAUGCGCCUAGAUUUUUGGCGACAUGCAAGGAGAAGUGUUUGGUGGCAUGCUAGAAUGCCCCUCAAAACCUAAAGCGAAAAGGAAAAGUUAAUGUAUUUGUUGUCAUUGUAUUUGCAAUCAUAUUCUGUUCGGUCUUGAUUAAGAUAUUUUAGUCUUCUUUCUCGAUUUGAAGCCUCCCGUUAGUAAUGGGUCCUUGUUUACUUGUAGGAGACAAACCAAACAUUUGCAGUCGAAACCUUAUAUGGGCAACCAAGAUUAUUUCGACCAACUUAUAAGUACCCACUGGUCAUCAUGCAACUUGUAUUUUACCCUUGCGGAGGUUGUCAGAGUAGGAUAUCUUCACGGAAGAAUAUCAUACUUUCCUUUUGCCUUGAAUAAUGGUCCGCCUAUGGUAUAAUUGAUCAUAUUGAUCCAAGUAAAAAGGACAACAAAAGAGCAAAAUUAUGUUUAAUAUGCAUUGACAGGUUUGACUCUUUAGCAUCCUAGAUUUUUCAGGAUCUGCAGUUUUGAAACUCGGCAUUAUUAAGAUCUCCAAAUCCUCUAGUUGAAUAAGAUCUCAAUAGACUAUUCUAAUUUUCUACUGCAAUAGCCAGACACCCAGAAUCAAUGCAACGGAUCUCUUAUUCUUACACAGAAUUUACUCAUCUUAAUUACAUUUACUGUGUCUCUAAUCAACUAUUGCAGCUACAACAACAAGGACUAAUUGUAGCAUUCAGUUCAGUGCUGAAUCUGUACAAAUCGAGAGUAAACUUGAAGCUACUCAGUCCAACCUAAUCACAUCAUUGACUGUCACUAGCUCGAGAAAUGGCAACACAUGGGCUAAAUGAAGACAAGAGUGAACAUGAUCCACCAAUAUACAAUAUAAGGGGUAAUUUUCCCCGCUUAAGGUUACCAAAGCAAACAAAUAGUUAAAUAAUGCAUGGACCAAAAUGAUGCUCUUAGCAAGGGCCUAAAGCAUGUGAAGGAUUAACCUAAUAAUGAAACAGAAAUAGUGAGGACAACCAGUUGCACUGCAUGUGGGAGUGAGAUAAAUGAUAAGUUACUCACGCUCAGAAAUACUACAUCAUAUUGUGAUCUCAAGACAAUUUAUAGCUGUAUAAGCAUAAUAACUUCACAAAUUAUAAACUAUCUUUCCUUAAACUGAAAUUAUGCGAAUGUUUGGGAUUCGUGAUGUUAAGUGUCAUGACUCAAGGGCAUGACCUUUGUCUUAAGCGAUUGAAAAGUAUAUUAAAGAUAACUUCAAGUGAUGAGUUUCAUAAUUCCCACUUAGACAGAAUCCUUAUCUGAAAUCGCAUCAACUAAAUUUCUACAUGGGAUACUUGUUCUCAAAUACAUCACUUUAUGAUAUGAAGUAAGAUAAUUGCUGGUUUUCUUGAUUAUGUGCCAAUAGGUACUACUACAUAUGCAUGAAUGACUCACUAGCACUUGGUGGUGGAUGCAACUUUGCCCUGUCCUUAAAUGGAGAUAUGUAAGUUGUCAUUUACAAAUUUCCAUUUUUCCAAUAAUCGAGAUACUUGACUCCUUUUCAUGAUAGAUUGUUUGUAUACCUUUCUAUUUUGAUGAGACUGGGAUCUUAUCAAUAGUAAUUACAUUCCUAUAAUCUGCCUUUGAGGUGACUUCUUCAGGAGGAGGUAGAGCGGGUACUUUAGAUGUUAGGAAGGGAGGAGUUUCUGGGAUAACGUCAUCAGUUUCAUCAGAGGGAGGGCUGCCUUCAUAGAAAGUCCUCCAGUAUGGACUAUUCUGCUUAACUUCAGCUCGCAACCAGUGACCGAAGGCCAUCUUCUCCUUACCUUCCAUCUUGGCUUCAGUGAAAGGUAUGGUUUGACAAUACAUGGCAUAAUGCCCUAUUUGUCCACAUGAAUAACAAAAAUGGGGAAGCCAUUUAUAUCGGAAGUCUAGCCAUAAUGCUUUGCCUGCAAUAUGAAUCAGUUGCCCUGUUUUUAAGGGAUCACUUAGGUUAAAUUCCACCCUGACACAACCCACUUUCGAAGUUGUUCCUUCUUUGGUAUCAAGCUUAACUUCCAACAUUCUUCCAAUGCUUCUUAUAGCUCUGCUUAACAUCUGAGUUGUGCACCAUUCUAGGGGAAGGCCAAAUACUUGAACCCAGAAUACACAUUUAGAAAAAUCAUAACAGUGGAGAGGAGUAUUCGGCUUCCAGGGUUGAAAAAUCACCAAAUUAUUAGAGAAUCGCCACAGUCCUCCCUCUUCUACUCUCUGUUUAUCACUCUCUAACUUGAAUUUAGCCACAUAGAUAUCCAUUUCUUGUUGAGAGAUUUGCACAUGAUCUGUACGCCAAGCACGCUGCAUUGUAUUCUAGAAUGCUGGUAGAUUAAUAAGGGAGUCUGAGAAAACCUUACCGACUAAUAUCCUUUGACAUUCUUCAAUUUUUUCCAGGGGUGGCGACUCAUCCCAGGUAUCGAUUUCCUGCUCUGACCAUAAUCGACCCAAUCUAUUACAAAGGCAUGCUUUCUGUUCCUGUUCAGGAUAGUCCAUGAUGAAAGGUCUCAGUUCAGAAAUCAGAGGAGGUAAGGACUGGAGUCGGCAUGCAAAGAGUAGUAGAUUAUUGGCUAUGUGGUUGAUAGAGGAUUAACGAAACUGAUAGAGACAUUGGGGUAAUUCAACAAACAGGUAACGAUCAUAAUUUUGCAGCUGAAAAAAGGAAAGAAGCAAGCGGAAUUGAUGGCUGAGAUAAUUGACAAGAGCAAAAGCAACACCAUCAUCGAUGCAACACAGCAGGGAAUUUGGUUGGGCUAAGAGGAUUCUAUAAAGGAAAUUGCGGGGAAGGUCAAGUUGGUAAACGAAAAUUCAUCGCAGUUGGGAGGGAAGCUUGUUAGAGAAGAAACGCUCUGAGGCACCAAGGAAGCAGAAAAACGGAGCUAUGAUUGCAAAGGGAAGGGGUAGACGAUAACUACAAGGUCACACAGGAAAGAGAUGGGAUUAAAAGUGAAAAUAAGGGUUCAGAAACAGAUACGAUGAAAAAAAAAAACUACCAUUGUUGGUAGAGGGAGGCUCUGCAUGUCAAGAGAGGACCCCAUCGAGGUUUCUUGUUGUGAGUUUUGUUAUGAAUAGGUUAAGUGGGAACAAGUGGACCUGUGAAACAUUUGGAAGCUUAUGUCUGGCUCACAACCCAAAGUUCGAGUUGAAGAAUGUUGAGGUAACAAGCUAAAAUGUCCAAGCUUGCCUUCAAUUGCAAUCACUUCAUGUUGUUGGGAUAGACUUCAUCGGAUGAAGCGUUUGAAUUGAUGCACGACUUGCAAUUUGCAUAGGCCUUAAAUACAUCUUUUAACUUGAUUUUUUCUGACAAAUUAGUUUUGUCUAAGGAGGUUGCUGACCUUGAUGUACAAAGGUGCAUGAAUAAUCUGUUGAACUCUGUGUGUGGGAAAAGAUAAGUGAAUUAGAUUGGCUAUCUCAAUAGAGUUGAAUGUGCUAAGAAUUAUUGUCUUGCUUGCUUUAGGUUUCACAUUUUAUGUGGAUCUUACCGCCUUGGAGGAUAAGACUUUAACUAAAUUGCAAGUUCCGUUGCUAAUGUUCACUUGUCAUCUACAUCUAUGAAGAAUAGGCUCCACAUUUCGUAUUAGCAAUCCCAUUGUCUCGUUUUUGGUGCAGUUAUGGGGCUUCACUCACUCAUCACGCCAUACUACAAGACCUGAAGUUGCAACAAGGCCUGCUCGCGCCGCUCUCCUCUGAAGUUCAUUCUUUAUUGUUUCAAUUUUGCCUAAAUAUAUCCACAUCUAUCCUCAGAAUUCUGUAGCCAAAUAGGUCUAUUUAUAUUACUUGUUGAGGCACCCUUCCAGGUAUGUGAUGGGGCGAAACGGCUGAUUGUACCGGUUACUUGAGACUUAUUCCUGUUUAAACUCAUUUCAACUUCAAAUGAAGCUUGCUUUCUAAGAGUCAGGAAUUCUUGUGGGUGUGCGCGGUCAUUUCUGUAAUCUGUUUUCUGAAAUGUGUGGAUUAAUAGAGAAGAGAAGAAUCGAUGGCAUGCAGACUAAUAUACCUGAGUGGUUCUUGUUUACCCAGAGGGAAUUUUACUUAGAAUUAGCAAUCUGUUCAUAAAGUCAAAUCACAAGAACAAGAGAUCCCUAAUUACAACAGGGUACAUAGAGGAGUAUCUAAGUCCAGAAACAAAAGCAGGCUUUCAAGGUUAAACCAAUGGGAUGAAAAACUAUUACGAUAAAUGUACACAGUUCUAUGAACAUUGCAACGAAAGAGUUUCACCUAGGCUAAACCUUUCGCAACAUUUCACAUUACAGCGGGAUUUUGCCAUCACCAUCCCUUUGAGUAGAUAACUCGCAUCUUGGUACAUGGAUUCAAUAGUUUAUUUGGUAAUUAGGGAAUAACAUUAUCGCCAGUUUCUUUAACUGGAGACUACAUUGUGCUUUGAUCCCAACGGUAUGUUUAUCAAGCUGUGCGUGCAAAUGCAGCCCAAUGAGGAUGGGUCAUUCCCGAAAUCUUGCACAGCAAUAGUAUACUCAAGAAGGCAAAUUUCAAAAAGAGUCGCUGAUCUUGACUAUAGUAUUACAAGAUAGUUCAUCCUCGAAUUCAGUUGCACUAUCCACAUUCCAGUCAAGCACAUUAAAACUCAAACUCUACUUACCAUCUCUCAUUAUUCUAGCAAACCAAAGAUGACUGAAUGGCCAUUCAUCGAGAGCAGACAUGAAACCCUACAUCUGGACAGAGUACUAAAAGCACGAUAAACUUACUAAAGAAUAGACUUUCGACACUAUUUUUUUCUUCAAAAUCCACAAGAUCAUUCAACAGCUCCACCGCCAAGGUAGGGAGAAACAAGGGUUUCCAAAUAGAUAGCAUAUUCGGUAAUAAGGUCCGUCCCUAAGAGAUAUUCCCUGCAAGUAUUAUCCUCCGGAUUAAACAUAAUCAUCCACUUCCUACCCAUCAAAAAAACAAUCUUUUCACUCCUUGUGUACGCAAGGGGAAUCUUCUCAAAGGGCGUAUUCAAGGCACUGCAAUCAACACUUAACCAUUUUUUCCACGGUGCUCCUAUCCUGUACUGAUCUGUAAUCCAUGCCUCAAUGCGGGGAUUUUGGGCAUUAUUGUAUAUGAACAGAUUCGCCCCAUGAAUCUCGAGUCCCAGGAGUAGUAUGCCGUCAUCAACUGCAGGGACUGGAAGCACCUGGUGAAAUUUCUCUUCCAACAAGUCAAAUGACAACAUCGCAGAAAAGCCCUCACCAUUCGUGUUCCAGACAUAGACGUCCCAGUGUAAGGCCCCUUUCCAAUAAACUGCUGGGCCGCAACAUUCGACUCCCUCUUCUUGGAACGGAACUUCUAUCAUCAUCAUCCUCCAGGAACAAGAUUUGAGCGAAAAUAUUGCCACCUUCCAAUUUUCAACUUCAACAACAACAUCCCCUACUACUAGGGCUAUUUUGUAGUCAUCAGAUUGAGAGUCAUAUCCGAAUCCAUAGAAUGAAUCAUAUCUGGCUCCACUACUGAAAUACAUAGCAUGAUCAACAAAAUCGGAACUGGGCAACUCAAUAUACUCCCCGGUGGUCGGGUUAUAUAUGACAAAAUUGGAGGGGCCAAGUAAACAUACAAGGCCAUCACAGGACCCCACGAUGCGGGACUCCCACAAAGGUUUGAUCCCAUGAGGUACCACCAUGCGACCCUCGCCACCGCCGUCGAGCGCUUCGUAGUCCACGGUCUUGAGGGGGCUGUUGCGGCCGCCGAUGAUGAUUCUCUGGCUAGGGAUCAAAUCCGCUGCCUUCACCCUCUGCAGAUGCGACUUGGCGAAGGCCCGGUCGGAGAUCAGAGACCGCCAGCGCUUGCAGACGCAUUUGAAUCGCACCAGCGACUUCGCCGGUAGCCUCAAGAGUAUGUCGACGACGACAUCCUCGGGUAUACUUUCGGCCAUUGUUUGGGCAAAACGGAAACAGGAGGGAUCUCGGACGCGGUCGAUUGGGUCAGCGAUGGCCCGUAGCCGGCUUUCUCGAGAGGUCCCAAGGCCACCGCCGGACACGGGCGGAGGGGGAACUCGCCGGCGUGGGCGGCGGUCGCGCGGUGGAGCCCAGCAGCUGGGCGGAGGCAAGGCGGAGGAGGAGGAGGAGAAGAGAGCUGGCGUGGAAUUUUCAAUUGAACAUAUU